AUAGAGGGAACGUCCUUCCUGGCUGUGAAUGUCGUCAGAAUUCCUAGCACACCCUAGAGAUACGUGAUGGUAGAAAAAGAAAAGGAUUUUAAAGUCUCUCUCUCUCUCUCUCUCUCUCUCUGUUCACGUGUCUCUAUCACUCCAUUCUUUAUCCUGUUCUCUAGACUGUCUCUUCACGCACUGGUUUCCCGCGAGGAGUAAUUAUAGAGAACCCGAAGGCUGGCAGACACAUUGAAAUCAGCAUGCACGCCCGUAACAAGAUAUAAAGGUGUCAUGGACCCUCAUUAGAGUAUCUAUAAUCAACAAAGACGUGGUCGAGUCUCAAGUGAAUUAUUGGUACUUAAUUAAGGAAAAGACAAGAGUUCCAAAAUACCCAAAUGGACGUUAUUAGACUCAAUAGGUAAAAUAAUGCUACUUAAGGUAACUCUGGCUAAUCACACUUCCAUAACAAUCCUCAUUCAUCUUCAUAUGAUUACACAAGUGCUCUUGGUGGACGACCAUUGUGAAGAUGUUUAGUAACCAGAGGUAUCUAAGAAAGAAUAAAGACUUUAUGUAAUUCUGUAACUUUAAUUGCUUCUCUUUUUAAAUAGAAUAACAUCAUGUCCAAUGGCACGGAUGGAUAGUGCACCAUGGGAAUCAUCUAAACUUGCAUGUAGACAUAUCCCAUUCAGGUGAAUUCAGUGAUAUGCAGAAACAUGUGUAUCAGGAUCUGGUCGGUUGCAUUGAAGGAAACUUUUGUGCACCCUGAUGGUAUCUGUACAGUAAAAUGAAGUAAGGGAUGAAUACUUGUACAGUGUGUACAGAUACAUAGAGUUCUGUACAGUUAUGAUCAAUGUACUCAGUAUAUACAAACUUAGUAAUGACUAGGAUUGAUAUUGGCAAAAUGUUCCAAGAUCUAUCUGAGCAGUGACUAUACAGGAAAGUUCGACUGUCAGACUCUUCAGGCUUUUGGUCAGCCAGUUUCAGGCAGCCUGUAGACAGGCAAGACGGAGCCAGGCUAGCGUUCGUUGGCUCGGGUGAAGGACCCUGUCUUCCUCUCUCAUUCCCGGGACACUCCUGACUCCCCUGUUCAUCCUUUCUCCCACUACGUGCAUCGCUCCCUCACUGUACCACUCUCUAGUCUCUCCUCUCUCUUCUCUUUCCAUUCCGACUCUCACUCUCUUUCUCUUGCUCUCUCGUAUACCACUCUUCAACCCCACUGCGUCUACCCUGGACUGCUCCAUGAACUCCAGAGUCCGAACGAUACCACCUGGCUCUCGAAUCGAAUGUCGGGACCCAGACGAAAUUACACAAACUACUGCCGGAAUCCUCGGUCAACCCCUCCUUCCUUGGUAUGGCGGAUCGAUCGAUCGUGGGAAAAGAAAUAAUUUCCGCAUUGUUAUGGCACGGUCAAAUGCGACAUCCUGCAUGCUGUUACACCCUUAGGAAAGCAUUGGGUAUCCCCUCGCACUGUGCAGAACGAUACGCACCUGGACUUCUUCUUGGCGAAGACUUUUUACUUUGUCAUCCUAGGGAUUUUUUUUUUUUUGGCAGUCGGUGGAGAUACAAUCUGUAAAAGGUACUAAGGGUUAGAUUGAUAUCUCGUGUGUAUGCAAGAUCAAGAUUAUUCCUACCGAGAAAGUGAAUUCAGUCUAAUUGUCGGUUGCAGUGCUUUAGGGUACUACUUGGGAUCUCUUAUCGAUCUCUAAUAAUUAUUUGCUCUCUCACAUAGUAACAGUCGUGCUAAGGAACUUGUAUGUAAUAACGCCUUUUUUCUAAUGUCUUGUCUCUGGACGACUUUCACCGUCGACGAAGUAUACUUUUCAGGGUCCGCAAUAUAAUCACUGUAAUCCAUUGUUUCCUACAGUACCUUUGUGCUAUAGGCCAUUCGCUACCGCCGGCUUGCGAAGCAGCGUGAAAUGUCUGUAAUGUGCGGAGAAAAUGUCGAGAUUUUUGGUUGCUUGGCGGAUUCGUAUGACGGCGACUUUCAACCCCGUCACGCACGAGCCGUCGCGGAUCUACGAGUCGCUCGUUUUAACGCUCCGGAAACACGUAGCGAUUAAAAUAUUCAAGGUCCAGACGUGCAAGCCAUUCGGCUGGCAGCAACGCGAUAAGUAGAUAGGCACUGCUUAAGCGUUUGAGAGUUUAUUUUCGUGAUGCUCAUUUCUCUUUCUUUCACAGGCGUUUCCUUUACUCUCUUACACUUUUUGUUUUUGCUGAAGGAAUUUUAACGUUGGUGUCUGAAAAGCUAGAAAUAUAUUUAUAACCUUUACUGUAGAAACGUUUUUACCCACCGAUAAAUUCAUUCAGCGAUACUCCGUGUUUUCACAGCUUGGAAUUAGUAGUUAUUCGGCAAGAAUCCCAAGAGACAAAGGACUUCUUUGUGUCCAGACGGGAACAAAAUCUUUACCAAUUUAUUCCUCAUUAUUAUUAGUUAAUCACAGGAUAUUUGCUCGAUAUUAUACUCUACGGGAUAUAUCAUCCAGUCUUUGUCGAAUGUUAAAUAUUUAAACUUUAUCGACUGUCCUUUCAAUCCCUUGUGAACGGCUGAUUAUACGAUUUACAAUGCACGGGAUUAUGGUGAAUUGUUAGCGUAUGUUAAUUAUUGUUAUAUCGAUAUAUUUCUUUUAAUAAUCGUCCCUCCUCUUAUCUCCCUCAGUCUAGCAGCCAGUUACCGACCUCCUCGAGCUGAAUGCACGAUGAAAAAGAGUCUUUGAAGAAUCAGACAUUUCGGAAUUUCCGAUGAGACGGCGGAAAAUAUGAAAAGUGUCGCGACCGACCCGGCUACUCCCGACAAUCGUCUUUCGUGUCGUUCGGUUUUAUUCGGUUAUUCCCGAUCCUGCUCGUGGAUUUUCGCCGGCGAUCGGCUCGACCCGAUGUACAGUAGGAUGAGUAGUAGAGCUGGCAUAAGACGACGUUUUGCGCCCUGUGCAUCGGCCAAUCGGCCAGUUCGUCGCCGGCCGUUCGUGAAAGAGGUACUCUCGCUUCGUUCUCGCUCCUAAAGACUUAUCCACGACGGAGCACCAGGUCCUAUUUGUCGACAAGUCGUCGUCAUCGUCAUACCGUCUUGAACCACGACAGGACUUUCGAAAUUUCCAGGGGAACAGACUGAUCGCAAGUGCACUUAUCUUUGCCACGUUCUCCUAAAAUCCAUUUGUCCAUCCGGUACUCAACGUAAUAUCAGUGUUGGUGACGUGUUAAUACGCCAUUUUCAUUAUAUAUAUUCGCGAUUAUUGCGAAGGUUAAGAGGCACCCGAUGGCAUAUGCAAUUCCUAGUAAUUUCUAAUAAAAUUACAAUUUUCGAAUAAGAUUUAUCACGAAAUUCUUCUUUUUAUUGACAGUCAUUCUAAUUUCCUAAUACACGGGAUAAUUGUAGAAAGAAGCAGCUAUUGGAUGAUCUACCAAAGUAAUAGAAGUCAAAAUUGUACGAUUUAAUUGAUAUCUUGGAUUUAAAAUUUAAAUAUAACCUCAAAAUUUACCAAGUCGAUACGGCUUUGGAAACUACGAAACUUCGAAAACCGGCUUCGCAACGUUUCAAACAUGAAUAACCACCUUCGGCACUGUACUCUAUGUAGCGGAGCGCAAAAAGAAGGUAGAAAAAAAGUUCGAAACGCUUAACGGUAAUCCAUCUUUUGAAAUACCAUAAAAUUUGUACCCGCUUCUGCUGCUGUUCUAUCCAAUAUAAUUAGAGAAUUAGGCAUAACGUGUUAAAUUAUCGUACGGUAUACGUUCCUAGAAAAUACUAGAAGCAACCGACUCACGUAACAGUUCUUUACAUCCCAAUACCGGAAUGUGCCAGUCUACUAUAUUAACAACGUCUUAAGUAAGGAAAAGUACUUAUUCCCGAAGAUGACUGCGUAAAAAUCAUUGAACCAGUAACAAUAGUUCACUAAUUCAAAACUGAGAAUAGAUAAGCCCGGGGGCCUCUUAAUGCCGUAAAGAUUCGUUACGCCACAGUGAAGAAACUUCCAUGGAAACAUUUAAAAACGAAGGAAGAAAAAAGAAAAGAAGAAGUACGAGGGAGAAGAAAACAAAAAAAAAGUGAAUAACUCGUGUGGCCCAGACUAGACGAUCUAAAUUGCAUUAUCGAUUGGAGUCAAAGUCGUCUUCAAGGAGGUCGAAAGUGCAGUAACCGCCUCCGUGGUUCGAACAACGAGAAACACGUGUUCAUGCAGUCUUUCCGCAAUUACACAGUUCACUUCGUAUAAGCCUGUAGCAGUUUGGUAUGCAGAUACUGUACUGUUACCUCCAUUGGGAACCGGCUUGUGGAAUUGAUCAUGCUGACCUAGAACAAGCCACGUCGACGACUUUGUUAAAGGCGGGGACGCACAGCAUCCGUGCGAUCCAUAUCUCUGAUAAUGCACGAUAAGAUAUAUAUAUUGCAGGGUGCAAUAAAAAAAUGACUUUAUUCCUCGCUGCGUAAUAGAAAAUUUUACACGCUAAUUUGUCUCCUUAUCAUUCUCCGGCAAUAGAACGUCGUGGUUUUAACGCUUUCGAAAGUCAUCGAGAUGACAGCUCGAUUAUUCCUAAGCCCGCGUGUAUAAUUGGUGCUACAUCUCUCAUCGUAUUUAACAUAGAGGGGACGUGAACAAACCCGUGAAAUUUAUAAGCGCUAAAGGCAUUCUAGGAAAUUUCACGCGACCAGCUAAAUUCUCGCGUUAAUUCUCGCGGAGCGAUGAUAGCGCUUGAAAUUUCCCACGAAGUAUUCAGUCAUACCAGAAAGCGAGUGUCUGUCGCGUUUUCGACUGUUUUCAUGGACGCGAAAUGAAGGAGGGACAAUGAAAGGGCAGGAACGACAAGGAGGGUACCAUAAAGUCACAGUCAGGAGAUUGGUCGAGGAUGACAGAGGAAAGGAGUCAGAAAUGCGUCUGAAUAACACACUCGUACGUUCCAUGUAUUAUACAUAUAUAUUCGCUGUUACGUGUAUUCUUGUAUGUAGAGAGGCCAUUACGUCCGGGAACUCUGUAAGCUCUGUCAUUUUAUUCUAACGUGCACGUCAUGGCGGCAGUUAGUUCGCAGUUACAUCGCGAAUGAUAUCUACAUAUCGUUAAAAUUGCACUGGACAUUCUCCUGCGGUGACGAUUCGUCGCGGAAUGACGACUUAAAAAUUUCGACAGGGUAGGGAUACGUGUCGAUAACAUAAAAAUUCUUGGUAGAGCCAAGUGCCGAGGGUACCGAAUUACGAUUCAUAGAAACCUAUAGGUCUAGGUCGUACAGUGUCGAAAUAUGGGAGGUAUCGAGUCUCCAUUACGCUUUGAACAGUUUGGACACACUAUACUUUUGAAGGUAUAAGAUCGAUACAUAAUAUAUUGAAAUGUGUAUUGAAUUCCAGUAUCACGCACGUACCUAGAAAAAUUGGUAUAAAAAAGUAUUUUUUAAAAUUAAUGCUCCAAGCUGGUUCUAUACCGUAUUUCAAUGUAAAGUCUCAAGCCUUUUUUGUAAUUUUUAUUAUCGAGCUAUAUAUUCGCUUCCCGUCGAGGAUCUUAGAAAUCGGUUUUCAAAUCUCAUAUACGGCAACAGAGCCCACAGUAAUUUCCCACGUGUACUUAUCGUGAAACUUACUCGUUUCGUAG
This is a long non-coding RNA of Cephus cinctus (wheat stem sawfly), 5552 nucleotides long. RefSeq lists it as uncharacterized. The transcript is spliced from 3 exons. The record is from RefSeq and is a predicted model, not a curated record. NCBI's taxonomy places the organism in Eukaryota, Metazoa, Arthropoda, Insecta, Hymenoptera, Cephidae.